UCCAGCUCCUUCCGCAGGUGUUCAGCCUCUGC
This 32-nucleotide non-coding RNA is filed under the name Homo sapiens (human). The record is from RNAcentral. Lineage: Eukaryota; Metazoa; Chordata; Mammalia; Primates; Hominidae.